RNAcentral lists this ribosomal RNA (512 nucleotides) under uncultured Glomus. RNAcentral describes it as "SSU rRNA". It matches the Rfam family "Eukaryotic small subunit ribosomal RNA", at positions 569 to 1085 of the family's 1831-position model. Lineage: Eukaryota; Fungi; Glomeromycota; Glomeromycetes; Glomerales; Glomeraceae. The record is from RNAcentral.
AGCAGCCGCGGUAAUUCCAGCUCCAAUAGCGUAUAUUAAAGUUGUUGCAGUUAAAAAGCUCGUAGUUGAAUUUCGGAAUCAAUAUGUUGGUCGUGCCAUUGGUACGCACUGGCAUUAUUGGUUUCUACCUUCUGAAGAACCUCGAUGUCAUUAAUUUGGUGUCUUGGGGAAUCAGGACUGUUACUUUGAAAAAAUUAGAGUGUUUAAAGCAAGCUCGCGCUUGAAUACAUUAGCAUGGAAUAAUGAAAUAGGACGUUUGAUUCUAUUUUGUUGGUUUCUAGGAUUGACGUAAUGAUUAAUAGGGAUAGUUGGGGGCAUUAGUAUUCAAUUGUCAGAGGUGAAAUUCUUGGAUUUAUUGAAGACUAACUACUGCGAAAGCAUUUGCCAAGGAUGUUUUCAUUAAUCAAGAACGAAAGUUAGGGGAUCGAAGACGAUCAGAUACCGUCCUAGUCUCAACCAUAAACGAUGCCGACUAGGGAUCGGCGGAUGUUGCUUUUAGGACUCCGCCGGCA